RNAcentral lists this ribosomal RNA (446 nucleotides) under uncultured bacterium. Its description in RNAcentral is "partial 16S ribosomal RNA". It matches the Rfam family "Bacterial small subunit ribosomal RNA", at positions 338 to 795 of the family's 1533-position model. The record is from RNAcentral.
CCUACGGGUGGCAGCAGUCGAGAAUCAUUCACAAUGGGGGAAACCCUGAUGGUGCGACGCCGCGUGGGGGAAUGAAGGUCUUCGGAUUGUAAACCCCUGUCAUGUGGGAGCAAAUUAAAAAGAUAGUACCACAAGAGGAAGAGACGGCUAACUCCGUGCCAGCAGCCGCGGUAAUACAGAGGUCUCAAGCGUUGUUCGGAAUCACUGGGCGUAAAGCGUGCGUAGGCUGUUUCGUAAGUCGUGUGUGAAAGGCGCGGGCUCAACCCGCGGACGGCACAUGAUACUGCGAGACUAGAGUAAGGGAGAGGGAACCGGAAUUCUCGGUGUAGCAGUGAAAUGCGUAGAUAUCGAGAGGAACACUCGUGGCGAAGGCGGGUUCCUGGACAUUAACUGACGCUGAGGCACGAAGGCCAGGGGAGCGAAAGGGAUUAGAUACCCGAGUAGUC